UUUAUGACGAAGUGAACUAUUAUAGACCCCAAAUUUAUGCAACAAUAGUUGCACAACUCUUCCGACUGUAUCUGGCUUGGUGACGCGUUCGUUGCUAAGUGAUAAAGAGAGAUUUUCAUAAAUCAUUUCAUGUAAAAAACCAACUUGCUGAUUACAUCAUGCAUUGUUCAACAGGAUAACAGUGCACUUCGCGGAAGAAAAAUGGAAGCAUGUGAACUACAACUAAGAAUUAAUUUAAACUUAUUAUAAAUAUUAAUGAACACUGCUUGUUUACAUAGGUAGAUCUUCAAGUUUUAAAACUUUACAAUGACAAAUGUGUUUAAUGGUGUUACAUCAAAUGAAAAUGCACCAAGAAAUUCCUACUUUGUCUUGUCUCACUACAAUAUCAAUGAUUUCCUGUUGAACACAAGAAGGAGGACUAGCACGGUACCAAGUGUCAAUCUCAGUUGAAGCAAUGAUGGUAGCAAUGGAAGGCUAAUGGAACAAAAUUAUUAAUCUAAAGAAUUCUACAACUGGUUGACCUCAGCCAGAAUAACCAUAACAGCUAUAAGCCAUCAACAACUUCAUCAUUUGUCAUUCACAUGAAUGUAUUAUAAAGUGUUAGCCAAUCAGAGCUCGAAAAACUGUAUCCAAUGGAAUUGCUAGAAACUCCAUGGAAACAGCCAAUGAAAUCAUCACAACAAAUGAUGUUAGUCACGUCAGUAACUUUUCACACUGCCACUCUGCCAGUGCCGGAUGAGAUGAUUAUGAUACAAGACCUGAAAGGGAGAGGAAAAGAAGUGAUACGUUUCACGUUUAGCAAAAUGCAUCAAUCAAAGUUGCUUCCUAAAUGUCAAACAUACAAAUAAUGAAAAAAGAUGGAAGGCAUCAAUGAAACAGAAUAAAAUCAAAGAGUUGAGGAAAUUCAACGAAAGGGUCAUUCAAAGUAUCAAACAGGGUAUGGAUUGCAUUGAUGAUUAUCAAUGAUGGAAUUGAUGGUUGUCGUUGAUUACAUUAUGGUUUUCUUGAAUUGUCUAUUUGUGUUAAUGUUAAUGAAGAGUGAAGACGACGCUUCAGGUGCAAUUGUUUAAAUUUUUAUUUUGAUAAUAAACAUUAACAGAGAUAUUUUUAACAUUAGCUGAGUUAAAACAAACCAAAGCAGCUUGUUAUUUUGAUUCUUGUUAAUGUUUUUACAAUUUUUAUAUCGUUUUCAUUUCUUGGCUGCAAUACGACGCAAUGCUUUUUAGCGCGAACGUUUGCCAAAAGGCUUCUACCAAAUUAUUGUGCAAUAAAAAAUUAUCAAUAUUACCAGA
This is a long non-coding RNA of Xenia sp. Carnegie-2017, 1292 nucleotides long. RefSeq lists it as uncharacterized. The record is from RefSeq and is a predicted model, not a curated record. The transcript is spliced from 5 exons. NCBI's taxonomy places the organism in Eukaryota, Metazoa, Cnidaria, Anthozoa, Malacalcyonacea, Xeniidae.